This 38-nucleotide transfer RNA is filed under the name Trichocline auriculata. RNAcentral's name for it is "partial tRNA-Phe". Lineage: Eukaryota; Viridiplantae; Streptophyta; Magnoliopsida; Asterales; Asteraceae. The record is from RNAcentral.
UGAGAUAUCAGGAAUAGUCGGGAUAGCUCAGUUGGUAG